GGAGUUUUCUAUUUUUGCAAGAGUAAAAAACUCAAAAAGUGCUCAACUCCUCUUUUUAUAGAGCACUCCAACUAAUCUCCCACCGUUAAAUUCAAAUGCAAUUAAUCUAGGCUGUCCGUCGCACCAUCAAUCUAGGCCGUUGAAAUGAAACACCAGAUUUGAUCUACGGCUAAGAUCUUGUUGUGAUCCUCACACUCACAUAUAACACGUCACCUCGAUCACCACCAACCGUCAACAAUAAGUAGCCACAGCAGCCUUUUAGGGGAAUGGGCGUUGCAUCCAACUGUCACCUUGGAAAUACACAGCAGCUGUCAAAUCAUUUAACGUCAGACACGUCCGCCUCGGAUCGAGCUCCUCACUCAACCUUACAAAGUUUAGGCGUACCUGACGUGGAGUCCCCUGUGGGUCAUUGCUUCGAUCGCUGCGCUCGCUCCUAAGCUUUACAAAGUUUUAGCCAUCUCCCAACGCGUCAUCCCUUGUGGGUCAGCGCACCGGUGGCAGAUGAGCUCUUCACUCAACUUUACAAAGCUUAGGCGUACUUGACGAGGAGUCCCCUGUGGGUUAUCGCCUCGGUCGCUGCGCUCCCUCCUAAACUUUACAAAGUUUUAGCCAUCUUCCAACGCGUCGUCCCCUGUGGGUCAGCGCACCGGUACAUAUAAGCUCCUCACUCAACUUUACAAAACUUAGGCGCACCUGAAGUGGAGUCCCCUGUGGGUCAUUGCCUCAGUCGCUGCGCUCCCUCCUAAACUUUACAAAGUUUUAGCCAUCUCCCAACGCGUUGUCCCGUAUGGGUCAGUGCACCGGUGGCAGAUGAGCUCCUUACUCAACUUUACAAAACUUAGGUGCACCUGACGUGGAGUUCCCUGUGGGUUAUCGGCUCAGUCACUGCACUCCC
RNAcentral lists this long non-coding RNA (895 nucleotides) under Olea europaea subsp. europaea. Lineage: Eukaryota; Viridiplantae; Streptophyta; Magnoliopsida; Lamiales; Oleaceae. The record is from RNAcentral.